Molecule: long non-coding RNA, 272 nt
Filed under: Zonotrichia albicollis (white-throated sparrow)
Lineage: Eukaryota; Metazoa; Chordata; Aves; Passeriformes; Passerellidae
Description: lncRNA (ENSZALG00000002029.1)
Source: RNAcentral
AUUCACCUGAAAUGAUCCCAUGAGUGCAUGGAUCCAUGCAUGGGCCUGUCACAUGGAGCAACAUCCCCAUUUCUAUUAGUGGUGAUGAGAAGUAAUUAGUUCUACAGGGUGACACCGUUUUUGUGUGAUUUUCUUGCAAGCCUAAGAAAAUGGUGAAAUAUAUUUUCCUCUCUGGGCUCAGAACAGGGCCUAGAAAUCAGGGCUGCACCUCUCACUCAAAUCCUGCUUUUGAAGAGAGCAUUGCUGCUUCAGGGAGGGCAGCAGGGAGAUGA